RNAcentral lists this non-coding RNA (662 nucleotides) under Physcomitrium patens. Its description in RNAcentral is "rRNA LSU_rRNA_eukarya". It matches the Rfam family "Eukaryotic large subunit ribosomal RNA", at positions 24 to 664 of the family's 3401-position model. Lineage: Eukaryota; Viridiplantae; Streptophyta; Bryopsida; Funariales; Funariaceae. The record is from Rfam by way of RNAcentral.
CCCGCUGAGUUUAAGCAUAGAAUGAAGCGGAGGAGAAGAAACUAACCAGGAUUUUCCGAGUAACUGCGAGCGAACCGGGAAGAGCCUAGCUUAAAAAUUGAGGACCUUCGCACCCCGAAUUGUAGUCUGGAGAAGCGUCCUCUGCAGCAUACGGGCACCAAGUUCCCUAGAAUGGGAUGCCCAAGUGGGUGACAGCCCCGUCAAGGCCGAUUUUUGUUGCUUCACAAGGUGUGAUCUGCGAGUUGGGCGAGUCAGGUGAGUUGGGCUAUUUGAAAAUGCAGCCCUAAGUGGGAGGUAAAUUCCUUCUAAGGCUAAAUAUUGGCAAGAUAUCGAUCGCAAACAAGUACCACAAGGAAAAGAUGAAAGGGACUUUGAAAGAAAGAGUUAAACAAUGCUUGAAAUUGCUGGGAGAGAAGCGAAUGGAAGCUGCGGGUGUGCCUUGGUGGGAUGUGGAACGGCUUCGGUUGGUCUGUCGCUCAACGCGAGGCAUUGGUCAGCAUGGGCUACUUAGGCGAGACAAGAGCAUGAUGUAGUUUCUUGCCUAUGCCGCUGAGAUGGCCAAAGAACGAAGCAUACGACACUCGAGUCGUGUGACUUUUCUCAACUGCAUGCUUCGGACGCUAGCGUAUUGAACUCUUCAUCCGACCCAUCUUAAAACACGG